Molecule: long non-coding RNA, 457 nt
Filed under: Populus trichocarpa (black cottonwood)
Lineage: Eukaryota; Viridiplantae; Streptophyta; Magnoliopsida; Malpighiales; Salicaceae
Description: long non-coding RNA (PTRI_LNC000429)
Source: RNAcentral
AUAAUAUUUUUUUAUUUUUUAAAAUUUAUUUUUGACAUUAAAGUUAACAUGAGACUUGAACACCGAGUACAACGUUGUUGAAAAGGAUACAAUGGACCACAUCUUUAUUCGAAGGCUGAAAGUGACCUUAUUGAAAAGGAUACAAUGGACCACAUCUCAUCGUUUUCUGCAGGCUUCCAUUUUUCUGGAGACUUAUUUUCUUCGCUUUAUAGAGUGCAUGCUUUCUACAUUCAUGGGAUUCCAAAAACUAGAGAGUACUCUUCGUCAAUGAAUCGCACAGAGCAUUAUUGGACCCCAUGAAUUAGCAUCACAUGAUAAAACAGAGAAAAAAUUUAUUGGACCGCUUGAAUCAGCAUCACAGUAUUUACUGGUGAUAGAGGAUUUUAAUCCUAUUAGUUCAGCAACAUGACAGGUUUAAGUCUUAAUUACUAGCUGAUCACAUUGGCACAGGAUCAAU